RNAcentral lists this ribosomal RNA (253 nucleotides) under uncultured bacterium. RNAcentral's name for it is "partial 16S ribosomal RNA". It matches the Rfam family "Bacterial small subunit ribosomal RNA", at positions 524 to 776 of the family's 1533-position model. The record is from RNAcentral.
GACGUAGGGCGCGAGCGUUGUCCGGAUUUAUUGGGCGUAAAGCGUCCGCAGGUGGCGAUUCAAGUCUGCGGUCAAAGACUGGGGCUUAACCCUGGAAAGGCCGUGGAAACUGAAUAGCUAGAGUGCAGUAGGGGUAGAGGGAAUUCCCGGUGUAGCGGUGAAAUGCGUAGAGCUCGGGAAGAACAUCGGUGGCGAAAGCGCUCUGCUGGACUGCAACUGACACUCAGGGACGAAAGCUAGGGGAGCGAAUGGG